ACUUCAGGCAUCCUCGAGCCAGGGAAUUCUGAGAAGGCUGUCUUACCACCAGAAACUGUGUUGGAUAAAGUCUGCAGGGACAGAGGGACAGGUGCUUUUUACCUGCUUGCCAAAUCAACGCAGUCUUGAGAGGCCCAGCAAAAAGAGAAGCAUACCACAAUAAGCUGUCCUUACAGCACCAGAAAUUGUAAUCAUUGAAGCCUUGCACAAGUACAUCUCAGCAAAAAAGAUGUGUGUAGAGAAUGUAGGGGUGGCAGGAAAAAGACAGCUCACAGCUCUCUAAGUGCCAUGGACCAAGCCAGUAUUAGGUUUGAAAUAAAUGGCUCAGAAAUUUACAAACUUACCUCUUAAAAAAGGAAAGAAGCACCUGGUGUUGGUAGACUGAUAUUCUCAUUCAAGAGAAGAUGAGAGCUGUUUCCACUGCUGGAAGAAGAUCAAGGGCAGGGAAGCCAGGCAAUAGGACAAAAGCUGAACGCGGUAACUUCUAGUGCCGCUGUCUGAGGACAAACCAGUGGCUGCAUGGAAAUUCUGUUCUCUGGUGAUACAGGGUACGGGUGGAAGAGAUCUGACCUAAUCAGGACACAGUAGUUUAAAUGGUGUCUGGGUUGGAAAUGAGAUGGUCAUGGAGAGUAGAGAAGGGGAAAAAAAUGAAGAGCUUGUAGAGCACCAGUACAAACACUUGCACCAGUGUGCAAUUUGUUCUGUAAAAAGCCAUUUGUUUCUGUAAAACAAGCAAGAGUGGAAAGCUUUCAACUAGCUCCUUAAGUGACACAGCAGAAAAUUCUUUAAAAUUAUUAUUUAGUUUUUAAUUGUUUCAUUUUGAAUUAUUUAUUCUCUUUCUUUCCUUUUAACAUUCUUCUAAUGUUGAGAAAGUAAAUUAAGGAGUCCAGUAUAGUAGUAUUUGUAUAAUCAAAUAUACUUAAUUUUAUGCUCAUUUAUUUCCUGUUUCUAGCAUACUGUUGUGAUGUACUGGUUAUGUUAUAUAAAUGCAACAAACUGUUUAUUCUUUGCUUUUAAGCUGUUUCUGUUGGAAUAAAGGAAGUCAGUGGGUGCAUUUUUUUGC
RNAcentral lists this long non-coding RNA (1063 nucleotides) under Gallus gallus (chicken). Its description in RNAcentral is "lncRNA (ENSGALG00010024379.1)". Lineage: Eukaryota; Metazoa; Chordata; Aves; Galliformes; Phasianidae. The record is from RNAcentral.